GAACUACCCGUGCCAGCAGCCGCGGUAAUACGGAGGGUGCGAGCGUUAAUCGGAAUUACUGGGCGUAAAGCGCAUGCAGGUGGUUGUUAAGUCAGAUGUGAAAGCCCGGGGCUCAACCUCGGAAUUGCAUUUGAAACUGGCAAACUAGAGUACUGUAGAGGGGGUAGAAUUUCAGGUGUAGCGGUGAAAUGCGUAGAGAUCUGAAGGAAUACCGGUGGCGAAGGCGGCCCCCUGGACAGAUACUGACACUCAGAUGCGAAAGCGUGGGGAGCAAACAGGAUUAGAUACCCUGGUAG
Molecule: ribosomal RNA, 296 nt
Filed under: uncultured bacterium
Lineage: Bacteria
Description: partial 16S ribosomal RNA
Rfam family: Bacterial small subunit ribosomal RNA
Source: RNAcentral